RNAcentral lists this ribosomal RNA (235 nucleotides) under uncultured Actinomycetales bacterium. RNAcentral's name for it is "partial 16S ribosomal RNA". It matches the Rfam family "Bacterial small subunit ribosomal RNA", at positions 97 to 334 of the family's 1533-position model. The record is from RNAcentral. Lineage: Bacteria; Bacillati; Actinomycetota; Actinomycetes; Actinomycetales.
GGCGAACGGGUGAGUAACACGUGAGUAACCUGCCCUUGACUUUGGGAUAACUUCAGGAAACUGGGCUAAUACCGGAUAGGAGCUCCUGCUGCAUGGUGGGGGUUGGAAAGUUUCGGCGGUUGGGGAUGGACUCGCGGCUUAUCAGCUUGUUGGUGGGGUAGUGGCUUACCAAGGCUUUGACGGGUAGCCGGCCUGAGAGGGUGACCGGCCACAUUGGGACUGAGAUACGGCCCAG